This 874-nucleotide ribosomal RNA is filed under the name Sanguinoderma microporum. RNAcentral's name for it is "partial 28S ribosomal RNA". It matches the Rfam family "Eukaryotic large subunit ribosomal RNA", at positions 77 to 938 of the family's 3401-position model. Lineage: Eukaryota; Fungi; Basidiomycota; Agaricomycetes; Polyporales; Polyporaceae. The record is from RNAcentral.
CCCCUAGUAACUGCGAGUGAAGCGGGAAAAGCUCAAAUUUAAAAUCUGGCGGUCUUUGGCCGUCCGAGUUGUAGUCUGGAGAAGUGCUUUCCGCGCUGGACCGUGUAUAAGUCUCUUGGAACAGAGCGUCAUAGAGGGUGAGAAUCCCGUCUUUGACACGGACUACCAGUGCUUUGUGAUGCGCUCUCAAAGAGUCGAGUUGUUUGGGAAUGCAGCUCAAAAUGGGUGGUGAAUUCCAUCUAAAGCUAAAUAUUGGCGAGAGACCGAUAGCGAACAAGUACCGUGAGGGAAAGAUGAAAAGCACUUUGGAAAGAGAGUUAAACAGUACGUGAAAUUGCUGAAAGGGAAACGCUUGAAGUCAGUCGCGUUGUCUGGAACUCAGCCUUGCUUUUGCUUGGUGCAUUUUCCGGAUGACGGGCCAGCAUCGAUUUUGACCGUCGGAAAAGGGCUAGGGUAAUGUGGCACCUCCGGGUGUGUUAUAGACUCUAGUCGCAUACGGCGGUCGGGAUCGAGGAACGCAGCGCGCCGUAAGGCAGGGGUUCGCCCACUUUCGCGCUUAGGAUGCUGGCGUAAUGGCUUUAAACGACCCGUCUUGAAACACGGACCAAGGAGUCUAACAUACCUGCGAGUGUUUGGGUGGAAAACCCGAGCGCGUAAUGAAAGUGAAAGUUGAGACCUCUGUCGUGGAGGGCAUCGACGCCCGGACCUGACGUUCUCUGACGGAUCCGCGGUAGAGCAUGUAUGUUGGGACCCGAAAGAUGGUGAACUAUGCCUGAAUAGGGUGAAGCCAGAGGAAACUCUGGUGGAGGCUCGUAGCGAUUCUGACGUGCAAAUCGAUCGUCAAAUUUGGGUAUAGGGGCGAAAGACUAAUCGA